Molecule: ribosomal RNA, 495 nt
Filed under: uncultured bacterium
Lineage: Bacteria
Description: partial 16S ribosomal RNA
Rfam family: Bacterial small subunit ribosomal RNA
Source: RNAcentral
GAUGAACGCUGGCGGCGUGCCUAAUACAUGCAAGUCGAACGCUGAAGGAGGAGCUUGCUCUUCUGGAUGAGUUGCGAACGGGUGAGUAACGCGUAGGUAACCUGCCUGGUAGCGGGGGAUAACUAUUGGAAACGAUAGCUAAUACCGCAUGACAACAGUUAUUGCAUGAUAACUGUUUAAAAGGGGCAACUGCUCCACUACCAGAUGGACCUGCGUUGUAUUAGCUAGUUGGUGAGGUAACGGCUCACCAAGGCGACGAUACAUAGCCGACCUGAGAGGGUGAUCGGCCACACUGGGACUGAGACACAGCCCAGACUCCUACGGGAGGCAGCAGUAGGGAAUCUUCGGCAAUGGACGGAAGUCUGACCGAGCAACGCCGCGUGAGUGAAGAAGGGUUUCGGAUCGUAAAGCUCUGUUGUAAGAGAAGAACGAGUGUGAGAGUGGAAAGUUCACACUGUGACGGUAUCUUACCAGAAAGGGACGGCUAACUACGUG